AGAGUUUGAUCAUGGCUCAGGAUGAACGCUGGUGGCGUGCUUAACACAUGCAAGUCGAACGAACCUUCGGGUGAGUGGCAAACGGGUGAGUAAUACUUAGGUAAUCUGCCCCAAAGUUUGGAAUAACGUUUCGAAAGGAAUGCUAAUACCGAAUAUCCUUAUUAUUUCUAUGAAAUUUUAAGAAAAGAUUUUUCGCUUUGGGAGGAGCCUAUUUCUGAUUAGCUUGUUGGUAGGGUAAUGGCCUACCAAGGCGACGAUCAGUAGCUGGUCUGAGAGGAUGAACAGCCACACUGGAACUGAGACACGGUCCAGACUCCUACGGGAGGCAGCAGUGAGGAAUAUUGCGCAAUGGGGGAAACCCUGACGCAGCGACGCCACGUGAGCGAUGAAGUCUUUCGGGAUGUAAAGCUCUGUCAAGAGGGAAGAUUAUGACGGUACCUCUAAAGGAAGCCCCGGCUAACUACGUGCCAGCAGCCGCGGUAAUACGUAGGGGGCGAGCGUUAUCCGGAUUUAUUGGGCAUAAAGAGCAUGUAGGCGGCAUUUUAAGUUAGAUGUUAAAUUUUUCAGCUCAACUGAAAGUUGCAUUUAAUACUGAAAUGCUAGAGAUCAGUAGAGGAAAGCGGAACUCACAGUGUAGCGGUGAAAUGCGUAGAUAUUGUGAGGAACACCAGUUGCGAAGGCGGCUUUCUAGCCUGAAUCUGACGCUGAGAUGCGAAAGCGUGGGGAGCGAACGGGANUAGAUACCCCGGUAGUCCACGCCGUAAACGUUGUUCACUANGUGUUGGA
RNAcentral lists this ribosomal RNA (786 nucleotides) under uncultured marine microorganism. RNAcentral describes it as "bacterial SSU rRNA". It matches the Rfam family "Bacterial small subunit ribosomal RNA", at positions 8 to 827 of the family's 1533-position model. The record is from RNAcentral.